CGGCCUAGGAAUAGAUUGAAUUAAACAUGGAUCAAAUUUAGAUUUUGUGUCACUGGCCUACACUCAAUACCCCAUAAUGUCAAAGUGGAAUUGUUUUUAGAUUUUUCUUUACAAAUGAAUUAAAAAUGAAAAGCUGAAUUGUCUUCAGUCAAUAAGUAUUCAACCCCUUUGUUAUGGCAAGCCUAAAUAUGUUCAGGAGUAAACAUUUGCUUAACAAGUCAUAUAAGUUGCAUUGAUUCAUCUGCGUGCAAUAAUAGUGUUUCAGAUGAUUUUUGAAUGACGACCUCAUCUCUGUACCCCACAAAUACAUCUCUGUAAAUAAGUCAAUAAGUCAAUGAUUAGUGUCUUGGAAAACAUGUCACUAUUCUGUCCUACAACAAAAAAUUUCUUAUUUCAUCAUGAUUGAUCAUACAUGAUGUUUCUCAGUCAAGAUAAUGGAUUGUUGAUUGAUUGUAUAAUACCCUGAUUGAUGUACGAGGCUGACUUUUCUUCCAAAGACAUGUUGUGAAGAAGAGCAUUUUGUUGCAUUGUGUUUAUAUGUCAUCAUAAGGCUUAUUAGUUUUUCUGGGACGGACGCAGCGAAACCUUUCUUGGUUGAAGCUUAAGGCCUAGAUUCAAUCAGAUCAAGAGUUAACGGGCGAUAGCAGACACCCGCAUAGCUGAUGUUUUGGAGGUGUCGCUGUAAAGCUGAAUUUAAACUGAAUUUCCACAAUGCGGAUUAAAUAGGAGCCCAAAGAUUGGAAAUUGGGAUCUGGGUGGAAAUAUUGUUUUGUUGAUAUUAUUUUAGAACUCACCUGGUUAAAAAGGAUGAAUAAAAAUAUAUAAAUACAAAGAUCAAAUAAUCUGGUGGGUCACAUGGAAUGAUUUUAGUUGUCGCAGGACACAAAAAAAAUAUUUUUGCACCUUCAGGGGGCGGUUUCCAGGACACAGAUUAAGACUAGUCCUGGACUAAAUAGCAAGAUCAAUGUAGGAUCUCCAUUAAAAAAAAUGGAUUAGGAAUCUGUGUCCCUGAAACGUGUCUCUGAAUCUGUGUCCCUGAAACGUGUCUCUGAAUCUGUGUCCCUGAAACGGCCCCUAAAGGUGUUUGAUGGAAGCACAGUGGACCAUAGAUUUACUAUCUAUACGAUGUCAUCAGUUUUUCUAACAUGAGGUAUGUCAAUACUGAACACUGUUAUCACGUCAUCCCUAUGGAAAAGCAUAGCAGAAUAUGUACAAAGAGAAUGAUCAUAUGAUGUAACUUAAUCAGAUUUGGAUAUCACCCUUUUUCUGUAAUAAAUCAUGGCUCUUUUAAAUCAACUGCUUCUCAGAAUGUUAUUAUAUGUUACUUCAUAUUCACACACCUCAUUUUGCACUCUAGGUGCUUGGAGUGCUUGGAAUACAAAGUCAACGAAGCAAAUGAAUAAAAUCGUCUCUGUGUUGCUCUUCAUGACUUUUUGUUUUACAGAGUGAACUAGACUGGUGGUGAGUAGGAGACGGGAGUUACUGCUCUUAUCGUGUAGACAUUAAUCAUCUUUGUUUUACAGAGAUAACUAGACUGGUGGUGAGUAGGAGAUGGGAGUUACUGCUCUUAUCAUGUAGUCAUUAAUCAUCUUUGUUUUAAUAGAGAGAACUAGACUGGUGGUGAGUAGGAGAUGGGAGUUACUGCUAUUAUCAUGUAGUCAAUACUCAUCUUUGUUUUAAUAGAGAGAACUAGACUGGUGGUGAGUAGGAGAUGGGAGUUACUGCUCUUAUCAUGUAGUCAUUAAUCCUCUUUGUUUCAAUAAGGUUAGGGUUAGGGGAAGGGUUAGGAAAAGGGUUAAGGUUAAGGUUAGGAGAAGGGUUAGGAAAAUUGUUAAGGUUAGGAGAAGGGUUAGGAAAAGGGUUAAGGUUAGAAAAAGGGUUAACUAAAAGGGUUAAGGUUAAGGGAAGUGUUAACUAAAAGGGUUAAGGUUAGGGGAAGGGUUAACUAAAAGGGUUAAGGUUAGGGGAAGGGUUAACUAAAAGGGUUAAGGUUAGGGGAAGGGUUAACUAAAGGGGUUAAGGUUAGAAAAAGGGUUAACUAAAGGGGUUAAGGUUAGGAGAAGGGUUAACUAAAAGGGUUAAG
RNAcentral lists this long non-coding RNA (2083 nucleotides) under Salmo salar (Atlantic salmon). RNAcentral describes it as "lncRNA (ENSSSAG00000095117.1)". The record is from RNAcentral. Lineage: Eukaryota; Metazoa; Chordata; Actinopteri; Salmoniformes; Salmonidae.